GAUGGAUGUGGCCACGGUAUGGUACAUUCGGCUAUCACCGGGAAUACAUUCAUCAA
RNAcentral lists this microRNA precursor (56 nucleotides) under Heligmosomoides polygyrus. RNAcentral describes it as "microRNA hpo-mir-36b precursor". Its record names the gene hpo-mir-36b. The record is from miRBase by way of RNAcentral. Lineage: Eukaryota; Metazoa; Nematoda; Chromadorea; Rhabditida; Heligmosomidae.